Molecule: non-coding RNA, 206 nt
Organism: Oryza glumipatula
Lineage: Eukaryota; Viridiplantae; Streptophyta; Magnoliopsida; Poales; Poaceae
Source: Rfam
AAAAAGGCAAACCCUGGGUUCCUGUGUCAAUGUUUGACUGUCCGUCUUAUAUGAAAUUUUUUUAUAAUUAGUAUUUUCAUUGUUGUUAGAUGAUAAAACAUGAUUAAUACUUUAUGCGUGACUUAUCUUUUUAAUUUUUUUUCAUAAUUUUUUUAAAUAAGACGAACGGUCAAACGUUGGACACGGGAAUCAGGGUUUGUCUUUUU